RNAcentral lists this unclassified non-coding RNA (360 nucleotides) under uncultured fungus. RNAcentral describes it as "partial contains 5.8S ribosomal RNA and internal transcribed spacer 2". The stretch from base 1 to 133 matches the Rfam family "5.8S ribosomal RNA", at positions 22 to 154 of the family's 154-position model. The record is from RNAcentral. Lineage: Eukaryota; Fungi.
UGGUUCUCGCAUCGAUGAAGAACGCAGCGAAACGCGAUAGGUAAUGUGAAUUGCAGAAUUCCGUGAAUCAUCGAAUCUUUGAACGCACAUUGCGCCUGCUGGUAUUCCGGUAGGCAUGCCUGUUCGAGCGUCAGCAAAACCUCUCAAUGAAUUUUUUUUUAUUGGUCAUGGGCUGCGGAGGACUAGUCUUUACAGGCUGCUCCCGCCUUAAACUUGCUGCACGACCGCGAGCUAUUGCUAGGUUAAUGGAGUGGUGUUUACAUUAAAUUCCAGCGAUUACGCAUAGCUUGGUGGCGUUAAACCACGUUGCUUAACUGCAACUUGAAGUUUGACCUCGAAUCAGACAAGGAUACCCGCUGA